UACGAAGGGGGCUAGCGUUGCUCGGAAUUACUGGGCGUAAAGCGCACGUAGGCGGCUUUCUAAGUCGGGGGUGAAAUCCUGGAGCUCAACUCCAGAACUGCCUUCGAUACUGGAAAGCUCGAGUCCGGGAGAGGUGAGUGGAACUGCGAGUGUAGAGGUGAAAUUCGUAGAUAUUCGGAAGAACACCAGUGGCGAAGGCGGCUCACUGGACCGGCAUUGACGCUGAGGUGCGAAAGCGUGGGGAGCAAACAGG
RNAcentral lists this ribosomal RNA (253 nucleotides) under uncultured bacterium. RNAcentral's name for it is "partial 16S ribosomal RNA". It matches the Rfam family "Bacterial small subunit ribosomal RNA", at positions 524 to 776 of the family's 1533-position model. The record is from RNAcentral.